This 219-nucleotide ribosomal RNA is filed under the name uncultured bacterium. Its description in RNAcentral is "partial 16S ribosomal RNA". It matches the Rfam family "Bacterial small subunit ribosomal RNA", at positions 57 to 305 of the family's 1533-position model. The record is from RNAcentral.
GCAAGUCGAACGCAUUUAGUUGCGUGGCGAACGAGGUAGUAACACGUAGGACUACAAACCCCAAAGUCAGGGAUAACCUGGAGAAAUCCAGAAUAAUACCUGAUAGUUCCCGCAAGGGUAAAGAUUUAUCGCUUUGGGAUUGGCCUGCGGAGUAUCAGCUUGUUGGUAGUGUAAUGGACUACCAAGGCUAUGACGCUUAGGGGAGGUGAGAGCCUGGCC